AGAGUUUGAUCAUGGCUCAGAAUAAACGCUGGCGGCGUGCCUAACACAUGCAAGUCGAGCGAGAAAGCUUCUUCGGAAGUAAGUACAGCGGCAAACGGGUGAGUUACGCGUGAGAAUCUGCCUUUUAGUGAAGGAUACCCUUGAGAAAUCGAGGUUAAUACUGCAUACGUCCCUUCGGGGAGAAAGAUGGCCUCUUUGCU
RNAcentral lists this ribosomal RNA (200 nucleotides) under uncultured bacterium. Its description in RNAcentral is "partial 16S ribosomal RNA". It matches the Rfam family "Bacterial small subunit ribosomal RNA", at positions 8 to 219 of the family's 1533-position model. The record is from RNAcentral.